GUGAGGAAGCCUGUCAUCUGGGUCGCUUCCAGGUCCCUGGAGAGUUUCCUCUGCUGUCGUGGUACUGGGUUGGCUCUUUGUUUCAUUGAAUCCACCAGAAGGAAAGUUCUGGAGCUGGAGGUGGGGUGAGGAGCAGGCUGCUGCCCCUGACCUUUGCUCAGGGAGGGAACGCAUGACAAUGAGGGGUCUUUGCGAGGUGCAAAGAUUUGAACGCCGUUGGAAUCCAUUCUGCAUGCAGUGCAGCCCACACGAAGCUGGAGGGAAGGCAGGGUCCUGUGUGGGAGCUGUCAGGUGUUGAGCGGGGCUGAAGCAGGUGAGUCGUGCAGCACAGCAGAGCUGAGGCUGGAGGGAGUCCAAAGCUACCGGACCCCACAGUCCAUUUGCUGAGUCUCAGCUUCAACUGGAAGACGGUGGGGGCCACUGAGAGAUCACGUGGGAUGACAGGUCACAAGGCCCCCUUUGCCUGUAGUACGGAUGUUGGAUUAGAAGGAGUGGGACCCGACACUGAGGACCGGAGGAGGCUGGCAGCAUCCCGAAAGUGCUGAGGGAGCCUGGGGGAGGGGAGGGGAAGAGAAGAGAGGAGUGACGAGGAGGAGGGGGGCAGAAUCAAUGCGGCAGUGGACUGGAUGAGUGAGACGAGGGGGUGACAGAGAGGAAGGAGCUGAGGAUGCUGCUCAGGUCUGGACCGCUUAUUGAGAGGAUGAAGCAAGAUGGGGAGCCAGUCACGUGGCACAGAGCAGGGGGCCGCUACCAUGAGAACAACUCUAGCAACACUUUCCUGCCUGUGACGAAUUGUGAAGAUCAGUCCCUAUAAUGAGGCAUCAGUUCCCUGAGGGCAGGGACAGUCUCUGUCUAGUUUUCUGCACUGUGCUGGAUGCGGGGCGUCCCUAAGGAAUGACCUAAUCUACCGCUAGGCUGUCCCCUCUCCUCGCCUCAGCCUGCUUUGGCCAGAAGGUGGCGCUCUUCCUAGAAAGAACCUCGGGUCUUGAGGACAUGCGGUUGGUUUAAGAAGCUUGGUUCCAGAGUCCAUCUUCCUCCUGGACGAGCUUCGUGGCUUUAGAGUGUUGCUGGAGUGUAAUUCCUGCAGGGCUCACUUCCUUUAAUAAAAUAGUGCAGGAAAACA
Molecule: long non-coding RNA, 1123 nt
Filed under: Sus scrofa (pig)
Lineage: Eukaryota; Metazoa; Chordata; Mammalia; Artiodactyla; Suidae
Description: lncRNA (ENSSSCG00070019354.1)
Source: RNAcentral